GCGAAAAGAACCCCGGCGAGGGGAGUGAAAAAGAACCUGAAACCGUGUACGUACAAGCAGUAGGAGCCUCUUUAUGGGGUGACUGCGUACCUUUUGUAUAAUGGGUCAGCGACUUAUAUUCUGUAGCAAGGUUAACCGUAUAGGGGAGCCGUAGGGAAACCGAGUCUUAACUGGGCGAAUGAGUUGCAGGGUAUAGACCCGAAACCCGGUGAUCUAUCCAUGGGCAGGUUGAAGAUUGGGUAACACUAACUGGAG
RNAcentral lists this ribosomal RNA (255 nucleotides) under Proteus mirabilis. RNAcentral describes it as "partial 23S ribosomal RNA". It matches the Rfam family "Bacterial large subunit ribosomal RNA", at positions 514 to 771 of the family's 2925-position model. The record is from RNAcentral. Lineage: Bacteria; Pseudomonadati; Pseudomonadota; Gammaproteobacteria; Enterobacterales; Morganellaceae.